Molecule: long non-coding RNA, 1260 nt
Organism: Oncorhynchus kisutch (coho salmon)
Lineage: Eukaryota; Metazoa; Chordata; Actinopteri; Salmoniformes; Salmonidae
Exons: 3
Source: RefSeq, a predicted model, not a curated record
AGCGGUAGUAAUAGUAGAAGUAGAAGUGGUAGUAGGCAACACUUACCGAACCCAGAUGCACUUUGACACAGGCAGUAUAACCAGAGGAUAUGUUUUAUUUUCAGUAUCAUCUUGAACCUGAAGCACUGGCAAACCAUGAUUGACCAACUCCCUGACCAACAUGGCUGAACUUAGGACCAUCGUAAGAAGUUUCCAACAGCCUGCCUGCUGCCUGACCUACAUACCUGUACCACCCCCGGCGUGAAGAGCCGCACUGCCCACUGCGAACACCAAGCUUGAUGGGUAAUGUGGUCUAACAUUGCUGGGCCAACAAAACCAAAUAAACUCAUGAAAGGAAAGUUACCAUACCUAAGAGGAGCACUGAACUGUUCAAAUGUCUUCCUUUCUAGAAAAAAAAGUCUGUACUAUUUUUUAGAUUUUCAAGUCCCAUUGAUUCAAAUCAGAUUCAGAGCCAAACAUAACCCAUGAUGCUAUGUUUUUUUGGAGCAAACUGAACCUUUGUAUCUGCCAAGCCUUAAGAAAAUGCUUCCCAACAAGCAAGAUCAUUCCAAUAGUUAUCUAAAAAUACUGGAUGACCUACAACAGACUGCCUGGGUAAAAUGAACCAGUUAAUUCACUACAAUUGUUUCAGUAACAGAAUACUGCAAAACCCUCAAAUUAAAAGACACAGACGUUGCACAGGGAAGUUGUACAGGGAACACAACAUUCUCUAAAUAUUGCUUGUUGACUGCAGGAGCUGUGUCAGACAUUACAGUACCAGCACAGUGGGUAGUCUGAACACCACAUACCUAUUCCCCAGACAAGGAGCCCUAUGUCUCUUCUCCAACAUGGCAGGACAAGCAGCAGAGCAGGAAGAGUCCUGUCAUCACCAGGACUGAGAGAAGGGUGCAGGUGCACUCUUAAGUGAAUUAAGAUGAUAAGCAAGUCAUUGGACGCUUAAUUUGAGGCUGGCAUAGCAAUCAACGCUUUCUCACUACUGGCUUUGACACAUAUAAGCCAUAAUAUGUAUUACAUGGAAGUCUAGAGUCUCUAGAGAUUGAGAAAAUAAUUUCAAAUUCUCUACUUCAAACUCUUCCUCAUAUACAGUACCAGUCAAAAGUUUGGAUACACCUACUCAUUCAAGGGUUUUUAUUUAUUUUUACAAUUUUCUACAUUGUAGAAUAGUAGUGAAGACAUGGAAACAAUAAAAUAACACGUAUGGAACCAUGUAAUAACCAAAAAAGUGUUAAACAAAUCAAAAUAUAUUUUAGAUUCUUCAAA